Molecule: ribosomal RNA, 328 nt
Filed under: Streptomyces resistomycificus
Lineage: Bacteria; Bacillati; Actinomycetota; Actinomycetes; Kitasatosporales; Streptomycetaceae
Description: bacterial SSU rRNA
Rfam family: Bacterial small subunit ribosomal RNA
Source: RNAcentral
CGGCUUGUCCGUCGGGUGUGAAAGCCCGGGGCUUAACCCCGGGUCUGCAUUCGAUACGGGCUAGCUAGAGUGUGGUAGGGGAGAUCGGAAUUCCUGGUGUAGCGGUGAAAUGCGCAGAUAUCAGGAGGAACACCGGUGGCGAAGGCGGAUCUCUGGGCCAUUACUGACGCUGAGGAGCGAAAGCGUGGGGAGCGAACAGGAUUAGAUACCCUGGUAGUCCACGCCGUAAACGGUGGGAACUAGGUGUUGGCGACAUUCCACGUCGUCGGUGCCGCAGCUAACGCAUUAAUUUCCCCGCCUGGGGAAUACGGCCGCUAGGCUAAUACUC